ACGAACGCUGGCGGCGUGCUUAACACAUGCAAGUCGAACGGAAAGGCCCUGCUUUUGUGGGGUGCUCGAGUGGCGAACGGGUGAGUAACACGUGAGUAACCUGCCCUUGACUUUGGGAUAACUUCAGGAAACUGGGGCUAAUACCGGAUAGGAGCUCCUGCUGCAUGGUGGGGGUUGGAAAGUUUCGGCGGUUGGGGAUGGACUCGCGGCUUAUCAGCUUGUUGGUGGAGUAGUGGCUUACCAAGGCUUUGACGGGUAGCCGGCCUGAGAGGGUGACCGGCCACAUUGGGACUGAGAUACGGCCCAGACUCCUACGGGAGGCAGCAGUGGGGAAUAUUGCACAAUGGGCGGAAGCCUGAUGCAGCAACGCCGCGUGCGGGAUGACGGCCUUCGGGUUGUAAACCGCUUUCGCCUGUGACGAAGCGUGAGUGACGGUAAUGGGUAAAGAAGCACCGGCUAACUACGUG
RNAcentral lists this ribosomal RNA (467 nucleotides) under uncultured bacterium. RNAcentral's name for it is "partial 16S ribosomal RNA". It matches the Rfam family "Bacterial small subunit ribosomal RNA", at positions 29 to 507 of the family's 1533-position model. The record is from RNAcentral.